Molecule: ribosomal RNA, 379 nt
Filed under: uncultured Anaerolineaceae bacterium
Lineage: Bacteria; Bacillati; Chloroflexota; Anaerolineae; Anaerolineales; Anaerolineaceae
Description: bacterial SSU rRNA
Rfam family: Bacterial small subunit ribosomal RNA
Source: RNAcentral
UGGCUCAGGAUGAACGCUGGCGGCGUGCCUAACACAUGCAAGUCGAACGGUCGCAAGACAGUGGCGCACGGGUGAGGAACACGUAGCUAACCUGCCCUCAAGACCGGGAUAACGGAUCGAAAGGUCUGCUAAUACCGGAUAAGCUCACGUGAAGUAGAAGCAAGUGAGAAAAGGGAUACCGCUUGAGGAGGGGGCUGCGGCCUAUCAGGUAGUUGGUGAGGUAAUGGCUCACCAAGCCGACGACGGGUAGGGGGCCUGAGAGGGUGACCCCCCACACUGGGACUGAGACACGGCCCAGACUCCUACGGGAGGCAGCAGUGAGGGAUAUUGCACAAUGGGCGCAAGCCUGAUGCAGCGACGCCGCGUGAGUGAAGAAGGG